This 536-nucleotide ribosomal RNA is filed under the name uncultured bacterium. Its description in RNAcentral is "bacterial SSU rRNA". It matches the Rfam family "Bacterial small subunit ribosomal RNA", at positions 1003 to 1532 of the family's 1533-position model. The record is from RNAcentral.
GAAAGGGCACUAGCCUAUGAUUUCUCAUAGGUGCGCCGGACAGUGGUGCAUGGUCGUCGUCAGCUCGUGUCGUGAGAUGUUGGGUUAAGUCCCGCAACGAGCGCAACCCUUGCCCUGUGUUACCAGCGGGUUAUGCCGGGGACUCACAGGGGACUGCCGGCGAUAAGUCGGAGGAAGGAGGGGAUGACGUCAGAUCAGUAUGCCCUUUAUGCCCUGGGCUACACAGGCGCUACAGUGGCAGGGACAAUGGGAUGCAAUGCAGCAAUGCGGAGCUAACCCCAAACCCUGUCGUGGUGCGGAUUGGGGGUUGCAACUCACCCCCAUGAAGGCGGAAUCGGUAGUAAUGGCGAAUCAGCAAUGUCGCCGUGAAUACGUUCCCGGGUCUUGUACACACCGCCCGUCACGCCAUGGGAGUCGGGUUCAUCGGAAGUCCCCGAGCUAACCGCAAGGAGGCAGGGGCCGAUGAUGGGCCCGAUGACUGGGGCGAAGUCGUAACAAGGUAGCCCUAGGGGAACCUGCGGCUGGAUCACCUCCUU